Molecule: non-coding RNA, 322 nt
Filed under: Yersinia pestis biovar Orientalis str. F1991016
Lineage: Bacteria; Pseudomonadati; Pseudomonadota; Gammaproteobacteria; Enterobacterales; Yersiniaceae
Source: RNAcentral
GAUCUGGCGGAGAGGGAACGCAUCUGGAAGAUGUGUCUUCAGGACGAAGAACACAGGGACUGCUUAGGACGAGUGAAGGGACGUUUCAGGAUGAAACAAGGGACACCUCCAGGAUGGAGAUUGAGAGCCAGUUCAGGAUGAUUGGUGGGUUAGGAUAGCCUAAGGAUUAACGCCGGGAUGGUGUAUAACAUUGCGAUGGAUUGCUGGUUAGUAUAACCAUACGGAAAAGUUUUCAGGGAUUGAGCAGGGAGCAUCAAUUUUAGCUGGAUUGCUAUAAAACGAAUUGAGGGGUACUGGUAAAACAGUACCCCUUUUUGUGCCC